UAAGGGAGCCAACCCUUGGAUUUAGGGCUCACUCUUAUCCAGGAUGAUCUCAUCUCAACUUGAUUACAUUUGCAAAGAUCCUAUUUCCAAAGAAGAUCACAUUCAUAGGUA
Molecule: long non-coding RNA, 111 nt
Organism: Nomascus leucogenys (northern white-cheeked gibbon)
Lineage: Eukaryota; Metazoa; Chordata; Mammalia; Primates; Hylobatidae
Exons: 3
Source: RefSeq, a predicted model, not a curated record